This 448-nucleotide ribosomal RNA is filed under the name uncultured organism. RNAcentral describes it as "partial 16S ribosomal RNA". It matches the Rfam family "Bacterial small subunit ribosomal RNA", at positions 333 to 797 of the family's 1533-position model. The record is from RNAcentral.
ACACUCCUACGGGAGGCAGCAGUGGGGAAUAUUGGACAAUGGGCGCAAGCCUGAUCCAGCCAUGCCGCGUGAGUGAUGAAGGCCCUAGGGUUGUAAAGCUCUUUCACCGGUGAAGAUAAUGACGGUAACCGGAGAAGAAGCCCCGGCUAACUUCGUGCCAGCAGCCGCGGUAAUACGAAGGGGGCUAGCGUUGUUCGGAUUUACUGGGCGUAAAGCGCACGUAGGCGGACUAUUAAGUCAGGGGUGAAAUCCCGGGGCUCAACCCCGGAACUGCCUUUGAUACUGGUAGUCUUGAGUUCGAGAGAGGUGGGUGGAAUUCCGAGUGCAGAGGUGAAAUUCGUAGAUAUUCGGAGGAACACCAGUGGCGAAGGCGGCUCACUGGCUCGAUACUGACGCUGAGGUGCGAAAGCGUGGGGAGCAAACAGGAUUAGAAACCCUGGUAGUCCCA